UGAUAUAAUGACCGAGAAUAGGUGCUAGAUUUUUAAUCUUGUUACGAAGUUAUCUUCUUAUUUCAA
This 66-nucleotide transfer RNA is filed under the name Melibe leonina. RNAcentral describes it as "tRNA-Lys". Lineage: Eukaryota; Metazoa; Mollusca; Gastropoda; Nudibranchia; Dendronotidae. The record is from RNAcentral.